CAAUUAUAGAACGCAAUUCCAUGCAUGCGGCAAACGAUAUUUUACGACGAAAAUCACUCCUUUACUGGAAUUUCCGUGAUAGAUUUCAUCCCUGUGUUAACGUGUGAGAACAUGCUGAUAUUAAAUUGGUUGUAAUACCUCGAAAAAGCUCUGAAAAUGGAUUGGAAAGUCGCACGACAUGCUUUGUUUAUGUUGGUUGCAUAUUUUUAUCUUUCAUCUAUAAAAGGCAAUAAUGCUACAACGACAACUGGUAAAGUACUUUGUCUGUCAAUUAUUGUACAAUUUUGCAAAGCAUUUCGGUUUAAAAUGACUCAAAAAUAUGCCAAAUUGUUCAAGGAAGUAGAUUUAGGUUUCGCUUUCCGAAUAUACCCAUCCCAAAGCAAAAAUAUUCAAUUUAGUCAUGAACAUUUGUCACAGACUUGUCAUUUUAAGCUUCGACAAACACAUUAACGCAAAUAUAAAUCACGCUAAAUGAAUACUUUUUGUUUAUUUAGCAAUUUGUGAAAUGCCUGUAUUAUUAAUAAUAAAGUGAAAUAUAAGUAUAUAUUUGGUUCUUCUAUUACAUACUGUAAUACAAUAUGCAUGUAUUUAUAAAUAUAAACUUCAGAGAAAAAUAAGGAACGAUUGAGUACAAGCACUCUCCCUCCCCUAGACAAGUAGAAUUGUCUGUGUUUAUAGACAGAAUUAAAAGGUAGGGCGUGUUAGGGCACAAUACAUCUCAAUCGGUUAACUAAUAUGGCAAAUAGUCUGAUAUUAAUCCAUUGCUAUACUGUUUUAUUUAAUGAUAUUUCUGUCUGUCGUUAUAGGUCCCACCACAAAUGCCUCAACAAUACAACCUAAUACCUCAACUCAAUCUAAUACAACUAUCAGUAUGACUAUAGCCACCACCUUCUCAG
Non-coding RNA from Paramuricea clavata, 896 nucleotides. NCBI's taxonomy places the organism in Eukaryota, Metazoa, Cnidaria, Anthozoa, Malacalcyonacea, Plexauridae. The record is from the annotation of a GenBank genome assembly.